CCCUAGAGAGGGGAUAACAGUUGGAAACGACUUGCUAAUACCCCAUAUGCCUUUAAGACUUAAGUCUGCAAAGGGAAAUAAUUUAUAGCUCUAGGAUCGGCCUGUACGGUAUCAGCUUGUUUGGUGAGGUAAUGGCUCACCAAGGCAAUGACACCUAACUGGUUUGAGAGGAUGAUCAGUCACACUGGAACUGAGACACGGUCCAGACUCCUACGGGAGGCAGCAGUGGGGAAUAUUGCACAAUGGGGGAAACCCUGAUGCAGCAACGCCGCGUGGAGGAUGACACAUUUCGGUGCGUAAACUCCUUUUAUAUAAAAAAGAUAAUGACGGUAAUAUAUGAAUAAGCACCGGCUAACUCCGUGCCAGCAGCCGCGGUAAUACGGAGGGUGCAAGCGUUACUCGGAAUCACUGGGCGUAAAGAGCGUGUAGGCGGGUAGUUAAGUCAGAAGUGAAAUCCUAUAGCUCAACUAUAGAACUGCUUUUGAAACUGAUUACCUAGAAUAUGGGAGAGGUAGAUGGAAUUUCUGGUGUAGGGGUAAAAUCCGUAGGAAUGGAGAAGGAAUACCGAUUGCGUAGGCGAUCUACUGGAACAUUAUUGACGCUGAGACGCGAAAGCGUGG
Molecule: ribosomal RNA, 620 nt
Filed under: uncultured Arcobacter sp.
Lineage: Bacteria; Pseudomonadati; Campylobacterota; Epsilonproteobacteria; Campylobacterales; Arcobacteraceae
Description: bacterial SSU rRNA
Rfam family: Bacterial small subunit ribosomal RNA
Source: RNAcentral